AACACGUGUGCAACCUGCCUUUAUCUGGGGGAUAGCCUUUCGAAAGGAAGAUUAAUACCCCAUAAUAUAAUGAAUGGCAUCAUUUAUUAUUGAAAACUCCGGUGGAUAGAGAUGGGCACGCGCAAGAUUAGAUAGUUGGUGAGGUAACGGCUCACCAAGUCGAUGAUCUUUAGGGGGCCUGAGAGGGUGAUCCCCCACACUGGUACUGAGACACGGACCAGACUCCUACGGGAGGCAGCAGUGAGGAAUAUUGGACAAUGGGUUAGCGCCUGAUCCAGCCAUCCCGCGUGAAGGACGACAGCCCUAUGGGUUGUAAACUUCUUUUGUACAGGGAUAAACCUACUCUCGUGAGAGUAGCUGAAGGUACUGUACGAAUAAGCACCGGCUAACUCCGUGCCAGCAGCCGCGGUAAUACGGAGGGUGCAAGCGUUAUCCGGAUUUAUUGGGUUUAAAGGGUCCGUAGGCGGAUCUGUAAGUCAGUGGUGAAAUCUCACAGCUUAACUGUGAAACUGCCAUUGAUACUGCAGGUCUUGAGUAAGGUAGAAGUGGCUGGAAUAAGUAGUGUAGCGGUGAAAUGCAUAGAUAUUACUUAG
This 593-nucleotide ribosomal RNA is filed under the name uncultured bacterium. RNAcentral's name for it is "bacterial SSU rRNA". It matches the Rfam family "Bacterial small subunit ribosomal RNA", at positions 112 to 704 of the family's 1533-position model. The record is from RNAcentral.